AUCCAGAUGACGAGUCGCAAAUAGGACGGAAAGCGCAUCCUGACUGGAU
Molecule: non-coding RNA, 49 nt
Organism: Trichobilharzia regenti
Lineage: Eukaryota; Metazoa; Platyhelminthes; Trematoda; Strigeidida; Schistosomatidae
Source: Rfam